This 253-nucleotide ribosomal RNA is filed under the name uncultured bacterium. Its description in RNAcentral is "partial 16S ribosomal RNA". It matches the Rfam family "Bacterial small subunit ribosomal RNA", at positions 524 to 776 of the family's 1533-position model. The record is from RNAcentral.
GACGUAGGGCGCGAGCGUUGUCCGGAUUUAUUGGGCGUAAAGAGCUCGUAGGCGGCUUGUCGCGUCGUCCGUGAAAACUUGGGGCUCAACCCCAAGCUUGCGGUCGAUACGGGCAGGCUCGAGUUCGGUAGGGGAGACUGGAAUUCCUGGUGUAGCGGUGAAAUGCGCAGAUAUCAGGAGGAACACCGGUGGCGAAGGCGGGUCUCUGGGCCGAUAUCGACGCUGAGGAGCGAAAGCGUGGGGAGCGAACAGG